Triplophysa dalaica is the source of this 1986-nucleotide long non-coding RNA. RefSeq lists it as uncharacterized. The record is from RefSeq and is a predicted model, not a curated record. NCBI's taxonomy places the organism in Eukaryota, Metazoa, Chordata, Actinopteri, Cypriniformes, Nemacheilidae. The transcript has 3 exons.
ACCUCGAUGUCAAUUUGACGUCAAAUUUCAGACAAGAUUUGAUCAAGAUGGUGCACCACAUCAUUUCAAAUUCAAAUCAUACAUUAAAUUCUUCAAGGUUUUUAAUGAGGUGAAAAUAUGAGGUUUAUCCCAUACUGAAAUUGGUUAAUGUAAGUAUAGCCCAAUAUGUUUGACAUUGAAAUGACGUCAAAUCAACGUUGCAUUAUAGGCAUUCAUUUGAUGUUGUAUUGACAUCAUAUUGACAUCAAUGUAAAUCCAGUUGAAAUAGCAUUUUUCUUCUAACUGGCCCCUCAAAAUGCAUCUAUUUGUCACAUCUUUUGAAGCAGUUGUUGGAUUUGUACAUGAAAGUGGACUGCUGUAACUUCUGUGGUAAAAAACACUUUUUUUAAAAGUAUGUAAAUACUCAUGCUGAAAUAAAAGGAAACAGUGAUUGUUAAAUUUUACAAGAAAAUAUACUGAUUUGCCAAUAAUACAUUCAGAUGUAAUUACAAUUUAAAAUAUUAAAAACAAAAGCAGCAUUUUUGCUGUAACCCCACAUAAAGUAUUAUGUAUCCUUAUUUUUGUUAUUUAUAGUGAUAUUAUAUUACUGUAAAAUUAGAAAAACAUUGCUGUAAUUGAAAAUACUCAUAAAAUUGUAAUACCUUAUAAUGUAUGUACCAUUUUUACAGUAUUACAACUUCAUGUUCAUUUUAGUCAAAAAACUCUUAUAAAUAUUUUAUAAAUUUUUAUUUUUCCUUAAUUUUUAUUAAUAAUCAUUAAUUAAUCAUUAAUUUUAUUAUGAAAAAUGUUGGGCCUACAAUGCCCAUUCAUUCUCUGUAGUUUUAAUGCCCAUUUAUUAUCUGUCUUAUGUAUUUCUUAAUACCACCUGUAGACGGCGCCAUGGCCUAUUUCACAUUUCCGGGUUUCUCAGCAGCUGAAGUUAGUGAAUGGACUACAACAAUUAAUUUAUUUUUUGUGUGAAAUUUGAUGCAAAUGUAGUAUAACAUAUUAUUUUAUACAUACACGUAAAAAUAUAAAAUUUAUAAAAAUAUUUGGAGGAUUUACUACGUUGACCGUUGAAACGUACGUCAUCACGUCUUGCGUAGAGGCCAGUGUUUGCUAUGCGGUCGAAGCAUUGGACAAGGUUGUCGCUUUUUAUCAGAAUUCUUACAAACAAAUUGAUGUCAACAAUGAAUAUGGAUGGCUCAGGAAUGAAGAAGGCCUUUGGAAAACACGGCUAUGUCGUGUUAUAAUAGGUGCACUACAGCAGUCCAAACCUUCAUUAUCAGAGGCUGAAAUAAAAAAAUACAGCUAAAAAAUCUCCGGUCUGCUCCCGAUAGAUGUGGGGGUAUGGGACGACAAAAGGGGAAAUCGUCGAUUGAUGUGUGUUCAGAUUCUGAAUAAGUAGGCCUUAAGCCAAUUGUUUAUCAAAAUUAUUUUUGUUCAUUUGGGAUAUGAUCUGGGAAAACCCAUCACAUGGUGAAAUAAAAAAUACUGGUUUUAGUAUCAUAUGAAAGCUAUUAAGCCCUUUCCAAAACUGUUUUUAUUUAAUUUACAAAUUGUUUUUAUGGAGUGGGUGGUCUAGUGGGUUAAACCACUGAACUGGUAAAUCAAAAGGUUGCUGGUUCUAUCCUAGUAGCCACCACCAGUGUGUCCUUGAGCAAGACACUUUACUCCAUGUUGCUCCAGGGGGAUUGUCCCUGUAAUAAGUGCACUGUAAGUCGCUUUGGAUAAAAGCGUCUGCUAAAUAACUACACGUAAAUGUAAAUGUUUUUAACAAAUGGAAAGGGCUUGAGAGCUUUCAUAUGAUAUCCAAACCUGUAAUAUGUACAAUUUUGUCAUGUGAUGGCUUUUUCCAGAUCACUUAAUAUUUAUAUAUCAAUUUAAAUGUUAAUAUUUAAUUAAAAAGUAAUUCAAGGAGGAUUUUAUAUUUAUUAGUGGUUUAAGAACAUUUUAAAUUUCUGGAAUUGUAGCUGAUUGUAUUUAAUAAAACAUGUCUUACAUUAA